AUCGGUCAACAUUGGAUGUUCAUAUUCUUUUGAUAGAUGAGUCCAGUUUAACCGUUGU
This 58-nucleotide microRNA precursor is filed under the name Octopus vulgaris (common octopus). RNAcentral describes it as "Ovu-Mir-12565_pre stem-loop". RNAcentral also lists the same sequence under 1 other name. The record is from RNAcentral. Lineage: Eukaryota; Metazoa; Mollusca; Cephalopoda; Octopoda; Octopodidae.